GCUGUUUAGGCUGCGACUUAGAUUCCAUUUUUUUUAUUAAAAGAAGGCCUAAGUGGAUUUUUCAAUUGACAUUAAAAAAACAGAAGUCCAAGAAGUUUAAGUCUCGGUGUGAAGUCCGAAGUCCAAGUAAGUUCUGAGGUCGAGCCUGGCAAAAUUUAGGACUCGUUUCGUUGACAAAAAGUGGAGGAAGAAAAAGAUAUUUUCUGCGAAGUGGAGAGGAAGCUUUUUGUUUAAUUGAAUUUUUAAGAGGAGAGAGAG
Molecule: long non-coding RNA, 258 nt
Filed under: Elaeis guineensis (African oil palm)
Lineage: Eukaryota; Viridiplantae; Streptophyta; Magnoliopsida; Arecales; Arecaceae
Description: long non-coding RNA (EGUI_LNC032004)
Source: RNAcentral